UAAUAAAAACUUGGUUUAUAAACUUAUAUGCGAAAAUUUUAAACUCUUUUCAUCUAAAUAAGGUGCAAGUUUCAGUACAUUUAUUCCAUCGGAGAGUUUUGCAAAGCAAAAUAAAAUUCAAAAAUCUGCAGAGAAAAGAUAUGGUGCAAGUUCCAGCACAUUUACUCCUUCGGAGUGUUUUGCAAGUCAAAAUGAACGUCAAAAAUCUACAGAUAUUAGAUAUGGUGCAAGUUCCAGUAAAUUUAUUUCAUCAGAGAGUUUGGCAAAGCAAAACAAAAGUCAAAAAUCUUCACAUAUUGGACAUGGUAUUUAUGCAGUU
Long non-coding RNA from Hydra vulgaris (swiftwater hydra), 319 nucleotides. RefSeq lists it as uncharacterized. The record is from RefSeq and is a predicted model, not a curated record. NCBI's taxonomy places the organism in Eukaryota, Metazoa, Cnidaria, Hydrozoa, Anthoathecata, Hydridae.